This 84-nucleotide transfer RNA is filed under the name Candidatus Omnitrophota bacterium. RNAcentral's name for it is "Candidatus Omnitrophica bacterium tRNA-Leu". It matches the Rfam family "tRNA". Rfam says of the family: Transfer RNA (tRNA) molecules are approximately 80 nucleotides in length. Their secondary structure includes four short double-helical elements and three loops (D, anti-codon, and T loops). Further hydrogen bonds mediate the characteristic L-shaped molecular structure. tRNAs have two regions of fundamental functional importance: the anti-codon, which is responsible for specific mRNA codon recognition, and the 3' end, to which the tRNAs corresponding amino acid is attached (by aminoacyl-tRNA synthetases). tRNAs cope with the degeneracy of the genetic code in two manners: having more than one tRNA (with a specific anti-codon) for a particular amino acid; and 'wobble' base-pairing, i.e. permitting non-standard base-pairing at the 3rd anti-codon position. Lineage: Bacteria; Pseudomonadati; Candidatus Omnitrophota. The record is from RNAcentral.
GCGGGGGUGGCGGAAUGGCAGACGCGUCGGUCUCAGAAGCCGAUGCUGCAAGGCAUGAGGGUUCAAGUCCCUCCUCCCGCACCA